RNAcentral lists this ribosomal RNA (252 nucleotides) under uncultured Bacteroidales bacterium. RNAcentral describes it as "partial 16S ribosomal RNA". It matches the Rfam family "Bacterial small subunit ribosomal RNA", at positions 524 to 776 of the family's 1533-position model. Lineage: Bacteria; Pseudomonadati; Bacteroidota; Bacteroidia; Bacteroidales. The record is from RNAcentral.
UACGGAGGAUGCGAGCGUUAUCCGGAUUUAUUGGGUUUAAAGGGUGCGUAGGCGGUAUGGUAAGUCAGCGGUAAAAGCCCGGGGCUCAACCCCGGCGAGCCGUUGAAACUGACACCCUUGAGUGAGUGAGAAGUAAGCGGAAUGCGUGGUGUAGCGGUGAAAUGCAUAGAUAUCACGCAGAACGCCGAUUGCGAAGGCAGCUUACCGGCGCUCAACUGACGCUGAGGCACGAAAGUGCGGGUAUCGAACAGG